UGGGGAAUAUUGCACAAUGGAGGGAACUCUGAUGCAGCGACGCCGCGUGUACUAAUAAGCACUUCGGGUCGUACAGCUCUUUUAUCUGGAAAGAUAAUGACGGCACCAUAAGAAAAAGCCCCGGCUAACUACGUGCCAGCAGCCGCGGUAAUACGUAGGGGGCUAUAGUUGUCCGGCAUCACUGGGCGUAAAGGGUUCGCAGGCGGAAAUGCAAGUCAGGUGUAAAAGGCAGUAGCUUAACUACUGUAAGCAUUUGAAACUGCAUAUCUUGAGAAGAGUAGAGGUAAGUGGAAUUUUUAGUGUAGCGGUGAAAUGCGUAGAUAUUAAAAAGAAUACCGGUGGCGAAGGCGACUUACUGGGCUCAUUCUGACGCUGAGGAACGAAAGCGUGGGUAGCAAACAGG
This 403-nucleotide ribosomal RNA is filed under the name bacterium. RNAcentral describes it as "partial 16S ribosomal RNA". It matches the Rfam family "Bacterial small subunit ribosomal RNA", at positions 355 to 776 of the family's 1533-position model. The record is from RNAcentral.